Molecule: ribosomal RNA, 440 nt
Filed under: uncultured bacterium
Lineage: Bacteria
Description: partial 16S ribosomal RNA
Rfam family: Bacterial small subunit ribosomal RNA
Source: RNAcentral
CCUACGUGCGGCAGCAGUGGGGAAUAUUGGACAAUGGGGGGAACCCUGAUCCAGCGACGCCGCGUGAGUGAAGAAGUAUUUCGGUAUGUAAAGCUCUAUCAGCAGGGAAGAAAAUGACGGUACCUGACUAAGAAGCCCCGGCUAACUACGUGCCAGCAGCCGCGGUAAUACGUAGGGGGCAAGCGUUAUCCGGAUUUACUGGGUGUAAAGGGAGCGUAGACGGUGCAGCAAGUCUGAUGUGAAAGGUCGGGGCUCAACCCCGGGACUGCAGUGGAAACUGUUGAACUGGAGUACAGGAGAGGUAAGCGGAAGUCCUAGUGUAGCGGUGAAAUGCGUAGAUAUUAGGAGGAACACCAGUGGCGAAGGCGGCUUGCUGGACUGUAACUGACGUUGAGGCUCGAAAGCGUGGGGAGCAAACAGGAUUAGAUACCCCAGUAGUC